RNAcentral lists this unclassified non-coding RNA (309 nucleotides) under uncultured fungus. RNAcentral describes it as "partial contains small subunit ribosomal RNA, internal transcribed spacer 1, and 5.8S ribosomal RNA". The stretch from base 1 to 73 matches the Rfam family "Eukaryotic small subunit ribosomal RNA", at positions 1759 to 1831 of the family's 1831-position model. Lineage: Eukaryota; Fungi. The record is from RNAcentral.
ACAAACUUGGUCAUUUAGAGGAAGUAAAAGUCGUAACAAGGUCUCCGUUGGUGAACCAGCGGAGGGAUCAUUACCGAGUUUACAAACUCCCAAACCCCUGUGAACUUAUACCACAAUACGUUGCUUCGGCGGGUCUCGCCCCGGAUGCCGUCCCGCCCCCGCGGUUGGCCGGCGCCGGAACCAGGCGCCCGCCGGAGGACCCAAACUCUUCUGUAUUCUAUACGAUGUAUGUCUGAGUGGAUUUAUCAAAAAUGAAUCAAAACUUUCAACAACGGAUCUCUUGGUUCUGGCAUCGAUGAAGAACGCAGC